CCCAAAUAGCCAAAAAUAAUGAAAUCGAACUAUCGUGCUGCUUGAGGGCUGCUUUAGGAAAAAAAGUACCAGCGCCGAACUUUGAAGCUAGUUAAAAAGAGCGUGGAACUUGAUGGAACUAUGAAGCUUUUCUACCUUCACUUGGAACUCGAUGGAACUAUGAGGCUUAUUUAUAAACCAUGCAUAGUGUUCAUCCGAACUAUGCGGCUUAUUAAGAAGCAUACGGAUUAUGUCAAUAGAACAUUGCUAUCUGCCAUUAAGCGUCAUUAGAAGAAAAAAUCAUUGUGUGGAAAGAUGUAUUCCAAGCGUGUGAAAAAAUCGGGAAACUUGUAGAGAAGGCGUGCUAAAAUUAUGCGUGAGUUGUUUGAGAACGGAGACGACUGCGAAAUAAUCGAUAAUAGAGAAUCAACAAACUUUGAUCAUGCGGUUGAACAAAUAUCCGACAGUUCCAGUUCAGAAGAUGAUGAGUGUGGGAUCCUGAGUAUGAAUGUAGUGGUGUGAGUGCGGAACGGCAAUGGAUGAGAGGCCGCCAGUCUUAGUUGAAUGCUGAAUAAAGGAGGCUGUGUUGCGUGAACUGGUAAA
Anopheles stephensi (Asian malaria mosquito) is the source of this 582-nucleotide long non-coding RNA. RefSeq lists it as uncharacterized. The transcript has 3 exons. The record is from RefSeq and is a predicted model, not a curated record. Lineage: Eukaryota; Metazoa; Arthropoda; Insecta; Diptera; Culicidae.